AUUGAACGCUGGCGGCAGGCUUAACACAUGCAAGUCGAGCGGAGAUGAGGUGCUUGCACCUUAUCUUAGCGGCGGACGGGUGAGUAAUGCUUAGGAAUCUGCCCAUUAGUGGGGGACAACAUUCCGAAAGGAAUGCUAAUACCGCAUACGUCCUACGGGAGAAAGAAGGGGAUCUUCGGACCUUGCGCUAAUAGAUGAGCCUAAGUCGGAUUAGCUAGUUGGUGGGGUAAAGGCUUACCAAGGGGACGAUCUGUAGCGGGUCUGAGAGGAUGAUCCGCCACACUGGGACGGAGACACGGCCCAGACUCCUACGGGAGGCAGCAGUGGGGAAUAUUGGACAAUGGGGGGAACCCUGAUCCAGCCAUGCCGCGUGUGUGAAGAAGGCCUUAUGGUUGUAAAGCACUUUAAGCGAGGAGGAGGCUACUGAGACUAAUACUCUUGGAUAGUGGACGUUACUCGCAGAAUAAGCACCGGCUAACUCUGUGCCAGCAGCCGCCGUAA
This 501-nucleotide ribosomal RNA is filed under the name uncultured bacterium. Its description in RNAcentral is "partial 16S ribosomal RNA". It matches the Rfam family "Bacterial small subunit ribosomal RNA", at positions 30 to 523 of the family's 1533-position model. The record is from RNAcentral.